GCGGAUGUAGCUUAGCGGUAAUGUGCCUGCCUUGCAAGUACAAGGUCCUGGGUUUGAUUCCCAGUACCGCC
Molecule: transfer RNA, 71 nt
Filed under: Fukomys damarensis (Damara mole-rat)
Lineage: Eukaryota; Metazoa; Chordata; Mammalia; Rodentia; Bathyergidae
Rfam family: tRNA
About the family: Transfer RNA (tRNA) molecules are approximately 80 nucleotides in length. Their secondary structure includes four short double-helical elements and three loops (D, anti-codon, and T loops). Further hydrogen bonds mediate the characteristic L-shaped molecular structure. tRNAs have two regions of fundamental functional importance: the anti-codon, which is responsible for specific mRNA codon recognition, and the 3' end, to which the tRNAs corresponding amino acid is attached (by aminoacyl-tRNA synthetases). tRNAs cope with the degeneracy of the genetic code in two manners: having more than one tRNA (with a specific anti-codon) for a particular amino acid; and 'wobble' base-pairing, i.e. permitting non-standard base-pairing at the 3rd anti-codon position.
Source: Rfam by way of RNAcentral